This 481-nucleotide ribosomal RNA is filed under the name uncultured bacterium. Its description in RNAcentral is "partial 16S ribosomal RNA". It matches the Rfam family "Bacterial small subunit ribosomal RNA", at positions 28 to 507 of the family's 1533-position model. The record is from RNAcentral.
GACGAACGUUGGCGGCGUGCUUAAUACAUGCAAGUCCACUGAAGCAGUGGUAGCAAUCUCGCUGUGGAGGUGGCGCACGGGUGAGUAACACGUAGGUAAUCUGCCUUCAGGUCUGGCAUAACUCCGGGAAACCGGGGCUAAUAGCAGAUGAUGCAGCGGCUCGACAUCGAGGCAGUUGUUAAAGCUAUGGCGCCUGAAGAUGAGCCUGCGUCUGAUUAGCUAGUUGGCGGGGUAACGGCCCACCAAGGCAACGAUCAGUAGCUGGUCUGAGAGGAUGAUCAGCCACACUGGAACUGAGACACGGUCCAGACUCCUACGGGAGGCAGCAGUAAGGAAUAUUGCUCAAUGGGAGAAAUCCUGAAGCAGCAACGCCGCGUGAGGGACGAAGGGCUUUUGCUUGUAAACCUCUGUAGUGAGAGAAAAAAAUCCCAAUCUUUGGGACAUGAUGGUAUCUCAAAAGUAAGCCCCGGCUAACUACGUG